CAAUUUCAAUUGAAACGGCGUCGGUGCUCUCUCUUUGGUAUUUAAAUUUUAUCAUUGGAUUCUCUAUGCCCCUCUGGCCCUCCGUGACCGAAAAUUCAAAAUCCAGGUAAAUUCUCACCUCAAUUAUUAUCAAGAGCGGCCAUUCUGUAUACAACAAGCUCAUGUCUUUUCUGUUCAAGUAUUCCUCCUUAAUCAGCCAAACCAUGAAUUGGCAUUUUUCCUUGACUAAAAUCUUUCUUUGGUUCCCAAGAACGUCUCUUUGCUUCCCUUUUGAGGCCUGAUUUUUCUAGUUUUCUUUAUGGUGGAGAUAACCACCAUAGUGAAAGUUAGUGAAAGUUAAAGGCAUUCUAAAUAUUGUCAGGGCAUUUAAAUAUUUGUUUAGUUGAAUUUGGUUUUGAGUCUUGUAUUAUCAGUAUUCAGUAAUGCACAUUAGGAGAGCGAUUUGAUAGCUUUUGCAAAGUGAAUAGUGAAAAUUGUAGAGCUUUUACCUGUUCGUUUGGAAAGGAUACUAUGUGAGUCUGCUGGAAGGAUGUAAAAAAGAAGAGAAUUAGGAGUUAUUUUUGGUGUAAGAGGAAAGUAUCAUUUCUCAAAGGUGUGAUUUCUUUCCCAUCCAGAUAGGCCAUGUUGUGAAGAAUUAAGAGCUACACGUAAAUUCAAAAUUUACAUCAAUGCUGCCAUCAGAACAGGAUAGCUAUCAAAUGCUAGCAUUAUCAAGCUAUUUUGCUGCUAGCUGUUUGCACACGAAACAUAAGAAGGAUAUAGGCUUGGUGUCAUCCAUUGUUGCAAGAACUUUGGCAUGCCCAUGCCAUGCAUGAAGUGAAACAACAUCUAUUUAAUUUUUCAAUUCUGCCAGAAUUAGCACCUUUUACUUGGAUAAACUAAGUUCUUGGGACCAUUAUUAUGGUUUUAAGGUCAAAAAGCGCUUUAGCUAGAUCAAUGCAGCUCUUGAGAUGUGUCUGAUGCAACUAAGCUGCUGCAUUUCAACAGAAAACCCAUGAUCCUCUUCCCACUGUCCUGUAAAAUUGGUGCAUCAAUUGAGGUGCAAUGCAGGUUUUCUUUAAAUAAAUCAGAGUCUCUGUUGCCGAUGUGUGAGCAGACGGUCACCCACAGGCAAUGCAGGAUACAUGAAGGUUAUGAAGCUCGAUGCCACAAUUCCAUGGUCGGAGCUCAUGUAAGCAGCACGCAGAAAUGAUUCUAUGUAAAGAAACCCAUCACUUUAUAGCAUUGCUGCUGCAUUUAUACAGUACUUAAUCUUGAAGUUUGCAGGUCAUCACUUUCAUCUUUAUCAAGAAAACCAUCAAUGUUAUGCCUCAUUGUUAAUCAUUCAGCUUUUGUCUCUCAUAGUGUCUCGUAUUGUUGUGUAAAACUUCACUCAUUUUUGUUGGGGAACAAUUUUAGUGGGACUUUACUUACAUCUCCUUUUGUAUAAUUUGUAAAACUCCGAUUCCAUUUUCUGUGGAGACUGAAGAUAGUUGAGAAGUGGUCCAGCCCAAAGAGGCACAGAAGCA
This is a long non-coding RNA of Hevea brasiliensis (rubber tree), 1508 nucleotides long. RefSeq lists it as uncharacterized. NCBI's taxonomy places the organism in Eukaryota, Viridiplantae, Streptophyta, Magnoliopsida, Malpighiales, Euphorbiaceae. The transcript has 2 exons. The record is from RefSeq and is a predicted model, not a curated record.